UCUUUAUCUUUUCUUUCAAAAAAAUAUCUAUUGAGAACCUCUGGUACCAUCCCUGUACCUGAUCAGGAUCACCUCACAUGAAACCUAGAUGUUACUCCAACAAACAAUAAAAAAAAGAAAGAAGAAAGCUAAGGUUUGGCAUUGGAACCAGAGAGGGAGAGAAAGUUAGGGAGAAAAGAUCUUGUAUUCCACUACUUGCAUUAUGAAAAUCCUAAUAUAACCUAUGUAUAUAUAUAUACAUAACCAUUAGGCCCGAUCAGAAAAAUUCUUAUAGCUCAACCCAAUACGUGAAAGCAAUCACCGAACCAUAUCUCAUCAAUGUCUCACAUGCUCUCACCCCUUAGACUUAAUAUCAGUCCAAGCCUUUGAGUUGGCCCCCUUAAGACCUCUCAAACAAGAUCUUAAGACACAUAGGAUCAAAUUCAAUCCUAGUUUGAAAUAGAAUCCAUGCAUGAUCCUGUUCGCAACUCGAACCAGCUCAGUCAGACCUCGAGUCAGCUCGACUGUCGUGCCACUUGAUGCCAGUGAAAAUCAGCUUUCUGUUCUGCAUUCGAGUCGGCUCUCUCAGGGUCUCGGGCUGGCUCGUCCUGAUUCGAGUUGACUCUAUCCAGAUCCGAGUCAACUCCUCUACAGACUGGAGCAGAUCUUCAUACUAGGGCCUCUCCUGUCCUAGUCUUAGGACCCAACCCUGAUCCUAGCAUCUCAAAGUCAUCAUUGUGACUCUUCUCAUGGCCUCCCAAGACUUGAAAGCACCACACAUGCACAACAAUCUCCACUUUAGUGUCCCAAGCCUCGGUAAACUCCUUGGCGCUCUCCAGUAUCCUGUUGUCCAUCAGUACUCCAUGCUCAUGCAUCUGACGUGUCUACAUCCACUGCUGCCAUAGUGGAUCUCCUGCGCACCAUGUCCUGUGCAUCGAUCCUACGCCUUGCAUGCCUCUGCUACCAUGGAACUUGAAGCCCGCAUCCUUCAAAGUAUCCUCCUGAGUUUCGAUACUAUAAAGCCUCUACCUGGAUCUCAGAAUCCUAUAUCUGCA
RNAcentral lists this long non-coding RNA (1034 nucleotides) under Elaeis guineensis (African oil palm). RNAcentral's name for it is "long non-coding RNA (EGUI_LNC029308)". The record is from RNAcentral. Lineage: Eukaryota; Viridiplantae; Streptophyta; Magnoliopsida; Arecales; Arecaceae.